This 984-nucleotide long non-coding RNA is filed under the name Homo sapiens (human). RNAcentral describes it as "HSALNT0315679". Lineage: Eukaryota; Metazoa; Chordata; Mammalia; Primates; Hominidae. The record is from RNAcentral.
AUCAACACAGUGGAGGCGAGAAGUCUGGCCUUGCGCCGGCCGGGGAGCUUUUCGCCAAGGCUCCUGUGGGAUGGGAUAGCUUGUUCUCUGGGCUGCAGGAACCAAAACAUUAGACCACCCUUUCUGUGACCUUGGGCAUGCCGCCCUCGGUUCCGAGCCGCAAGUCUUUCUUUCGGGGAAAAUGAAAAGGGGUCAAGAUUUGGACCAGAUGACACCCAAUGUCCCAUUCAACGGUCGCAUUCUGUCAUCCACAGGAAUUAGUCCUGUAUCCGAAACAUUCUCUGGUAGUCAAAAGCUGAGCCUGGAGACAGAUGGAGGGGAAGACAGAAGAGAGAUUAAGGAGAAGAAUGGUUUCAUUUGGAAGGACACUGACUAAGGAAAAACAGAGAAAAGGAUGAAACCCAAGCCAACUCUGCAACUCUAUUAAAAACACCAAGACUUCAAUAUAAUCUCCUUAAAGGGAGGCAGUGCAUUCUUCAUGGCUAGAGCUUCAGCAGCUAUCUAGAACCAUAUGGUGGAAGCCACUUACUGAGAACUGUGAAACAAGAGCCUGGGUCCCUGACAUAUGAAGCCACCAUACCUACCUUAAAGUGUCUUUCACUUGAGGGAAAAAUACAUCUUUCUUAGAGAUUUGAAUUUUAAUGUCCCAGAAAUAUAAAGAAGAUGGCAUUAAAAUGUCCUAUAUGUUGGCAGUCCUACCCUGAAGACUUUUUUUGCUUAUCUUUUGUUCUGAGCUACAGUCUUCGCAGAGACUAAAUUAGUGACUGGACAACAGAAGAAAAUAGACCAUCCUGGCUAAAAUGGUGAAACCCCAUCUCUACUAAAAACACAAAAAAUUAGCUGGGCAUGUUAGCGGGUGCCUGUAGUCCCAGCUACUCGGGAGGCUGAGGCAAGAAAAUGGCGUGAACCUGGGAGGCGGAGCUUGCAGUGAGCUGAGAUCGCGCCACUGCACUCCAGCAUGGGGGAUAGAGCGAGACUCCGUCU